CGAGGGGGAGGAGGAGGCCGAGGGGGAGGAGGAGGCCGAGGGGGAGGCCGAGGCCCAGGACGCUGAAGGAGAAGAGGAGCCAGGAGAAGAAGCGGAAGAUUCCUAGGCCCUCUUCUGCUGAAUUCUCCAGUUUCCCAGACGACCCCAGCCACGGAGCAGCCUUUGAGAUAUCUCCCCACGCACGCAACCCAAACCACGCCGGCCGGGAACCCGCCCCGGGGGCCUCUGAGCGGCCGGGCUUCGCCCAGGACGUCUGGGGGGGCCCCCACGCCCGCCGCCUCUGCCAGCCGCGUCCGUCUGGAGUAGAACGCACCCGCCUUCGCGCCGUCGCGCCCCGCGAUUCGUUUUGCUCUGAGCAGGUAGCUCCCCGGGAUUCGUACGCAGGAAGAGCGGCUGGGAGGAAUUCAAGUUCCGAAGCUUUGUGUGUGCCCCGCGGUCCUUGUCCUAGGGACUGAGCUUGGAAAGCGAGGCGCUUUCCGGAGAGCCAUCGUCUAAAUAAAGAUGGAUAGCAAACGU
Perognathus longimembris pacificus (Pacific pocket mouse) is the source of this 516-nucleotide long non-coding RNA. RefSeq lists it as uncharacterized. The transcript has 2 exons. The record is from RefSeq and is a predicted model, not a curated record. Lineage: Eukaryota; Metazoa; Chordata; Mammalia; Rodentia; Heteromyidae.